CGGACGGGUGAGUAACGCGUGGGUAACCUGCCUUGUACUGGGGGACAACAGUUAGAAAUGACUGCUAAUACCGCAUAAGCGCACAGUAUCGCAUGAUACAGUGUGAAAAACUCCGGUGGUACAAGAUGGACCCGCGUCUGAUUAGCUAGUUGGUAAGGUAAGGGCUUACCAAGGCGACGAUCAGUAGCCGACCUGAGAAGGUGACCGGCCACAUUGGGACUGAGACACGGCCCAA
Molecule: ribosomal RNA, 235 nt
Filed under: uncultured bacterium
Lineage: Bacteria
Description: partial 16S ribosomal RNA
Rfam family: Bacterial small subunit ribosomal RNA
Source: RNAcentral